GGCAGAAUGGUGUAGUGAUUGAGCACGCAGGCCACGGCUCCUACGCCAGAGGGUCUGGGUUCAAAUCCCGGCCCUGUCA
Molecule: non-coding RNA, 79 nt
Organism: Pongo abelii (Sumatran orangutan)
Lineage: Eukaryota; Metazoa; Chordata; Mammalia; Primates; Hominidae
Source: Rfam